RNAcentral lists this ribosomal RNA (253 nucleotides) under uncultured bacterium. Its description in RNAcentral is "partial 16S ribosomal RNA". It matches the Rfam family "Bacterial small subunit ribosomal RNA", at positions 524 to 776 of the family's 1533-position model. The record is from RNAcentral.
UACGUAGGUGGCAAGCGUUGUCCGGAAUUAUUGGGCGUAAAGCGCGCGUAGGCGGCCCUGUAAGUCCGUUGUGAAAGUCAAAGGCUCAACCUUUGAAAGCCGAUGGAUACUGCAGGGCUAGAGUCCGGAAGAGGCGAGUGGAAUUCCUGGUGUAGCGGUGGAAUGCGCAGAUAUCAGGAGGAACACCAAUAGCGAAGGCAGCUCGCUGGGACGGUACUGACGCUAAGGCGCGAAAGCGUGGGGAGCGAACAGG